ACGGGUGAGUAAUACAUCGGAACGUGCCCAAUCGUGGGGGAUAACGCAGCGAAAGCUGUGCUAAUACCGCAUACGAUCUACGGAUGAAAGCAGGGGAUCGCAAGACCUUGCGCGAAUGGAGCGGCCGAUGGCAGAUUAGGUAGUUGGUGAGGUAAAGGCUCACCAAGCCUUCGAUCUGUAGCUGGUCUGAGAGGACGACCAGCCACACUGGGACUGAGACACGGCCCAGACUCCUACGGGAGGCAGCAGUGGGGAAUUUUGGACAAUGGGCGAAAGCCUGAUCCAGCCAUGCCGCGUGCAGGAUGAAGGCCUUCGGGUUGUAAACUGCUUUUGUACGGAACGAAACGGCCUUUUCUAAUAAAGAGGGCUAAUGACGGUACCGUAAGAAUAAGCACCGGCUAACUACGUGCCAGCAGCCGCGGUAAACCCUAGGGUGCAAGCGUUAAUCGGAAUUACUGGGCGUAAAGCGUGCGCAGGCGGUUAUGUAAGACAGUUGUGAAAUCCCCGGGCUCAACCUGGGAACUGCAUCUGUGACUGCAUAGCUAGAGUACGGUAGAGGGGGAUGGAAUUCCGCGUGUAGCAGUGAA
This 587-nucleotide ribosomal RNA is filed under the name Variovorax sp. HRTP040. RNAcentral describes it as "bacterial SSU rRNA". It matches the Rfam family "Bacterial small subunit ribosomal RNA", at positions 102 to 685 of the family's 1533-position model. The record is from RNAcentral. Lineage: Bacteria; Pseudomonadati; Pseudomonadota; Betaproteobacteria; Burkholderiales; Comamonadaceae.